This 860-nucleotide ribosomal RNA is filed under the name uncultured Planctomycetota bacterium. Its description in RNAcentral is "bacterial SSU rRNA". It matches the Rfam family "Bacterial small subunit ribosomal RNA", at positions 8 to 867 of the family's 1533-position model. Lineage: Bacteria; Pseudomonadati; Planctomycetota. The record is from RNAcentral.
AGAGUUUGAUCCUGGCUCAGAAUGAACGUUGGCGGCGUGGAUUAGGCAUGCAAGUCGAGCGAGAAGGUUUCUUUUGCUUGCAUUAGAAACCGGAAAGCGGCGAAAGGGAGAGUAACGCGUAGGUUAUCUGCCCCCAGGUCUGGGAUAGCGGCGGGAAACUGCCGGUAAUACCGGAUAAUGUCUCCGGACCAAAGGUGUGAUUCCGCCUGGGGAUGAUCCUGCGUCCUAUUAGUUUGUUGAUGGGGUAAUGGCCUACCAAGACGUUUAUGGGUAGCGGGCGUGAGAGCGUGGCCCGUCUCACUGGGACUGAGACACUGCCCAGACACCUACGGGUGGCUGCAGUCGAGAAUCUUCCGCAAUGGACGCAAGUCUGACGGAGCGACGCCGCGUGCGGGAUGAAGGCCUUCGGGUUGUAAACCGCUGUCAGUGGGGUGGAAAUGCAGUGGGGUUAUCCCCAUUGUUUGACCUAACCGCAGAGGAAGUCCGGGCUAAGUACGUGCCAGCAGCCGCGGUAAUACGUACCGGACAAACGUUAUUCGGAUUCACUGGGCUUAAAGAGUGCGUAGGCGGCUCUGAAGGUGGGGUGUGAAAGCCCACGGCUUAACCGUGGAAUUGCGCUCCAAACCGCAGGGCUUGAGGGAGACAGGGGUGAGCGGAACUGAUGGUGGAGCGGUGAAAUGCGUUGAUAUCAUCAGGAACACCGGUGGCGAAGGCGGCUCACUGGGUCUCUUCUGACGCUGAGGCACGAAAGCUAGGGGAGCGAACGGGAUUAGAUACCCCGGUAGUCCUAGCUGUAAACGAUGAGCACUAGAUCGUGGGGGCCUCCACACCCUCUCGGUCGUAGCGAAAGUGUUAAGUGC